This 269-nucleotide ribosomal RNA is filed under the name uncultured Planctomycetales bacterium. RNAcentral describes it as "partial 16S ribosomal RNA". It matches the Rfam family "Bacterial small subunit ribosomal RNA", at positions 565 to 832 of the family's 1533-position model. The record is from RNAcentral. Lineage: Bacteria; Pseudomonadati; Planctomycetota; Planctomycetia; Planctomycetales.
GAGCACGUAGGUGGGUUUGUAAGUCAGAUGUGAAAGCCUUCUGUUCAACGGAAGAAUUGCAUCUGAAACUGCGAGUCUUGAGUGUAGGAGGGGAGAAUGGAACUUCUGGUGGAGCGGCGAAAUGCGUAGAUAUCAGAAGGAACUCCGGCGGCGAAGGCGAUUCUCUGGCCUAUUACUGACACUCAGUGUGCGAAAGCUAGGGGAGCAAACGGGAUUAGAUACCCCGGUAGUCCUAGCCGUAAACGAUGGGCACUAAGUAGAGGGGUUUU